Ictalurus punctatus (channel catfish) is the source of this 1974-nucleotide long non-coding RNA. The record is from Ensembl. Lineage: Eukaryota; Metazoa; Chordata; Actinopteri; Siluriformes; Ictaluridae.
CCACAGUUCACCAUCAAAUAGAACCAACCAAUCUAGUCCAGUUUAUUACAUUUUAAAAAAAAAAGAGUCUGAAAACCAGUGUAAGAUCUGGACAAGACUUCUAAAGCUUAGAAUGUUUCUAGGAGCACAGUGGCUGCUAUAAUUGUGGUACUGAGUUUGACCUCUUCCCAGAGGUCAAACUCAGUACCCGGGCCAGGCCAGAAAGUUCUUGGUGACCAAGUAGCUAAAGGCCAAUCUACUACAGCUUCAGAAGUUCUCAGCAGAGAUGGGAGAAUCUUCAUGGUAGAGUGGUCAAAUGGAGGUCACUCCUGAUAUGGCAGACACUUAAAGGACCAAUGAGACAAAAAAAAAAUAACUUACUAAAUACAUAUCUUUUCAUUUUUUAUUUGGGGUCUGAACACUUUACAAACCCACUGUACAUGCAGCUAAACAGGACCUUCAGCUGUUUAGGAUGCAUGCGAAAAUCAACUGCAUAUAGCUUCCACUAAAAACAUACCAUUAAAAUUUCCCAUAUAUAGUAGACUGUAUAGGGCAACAUGCUGUAUUGUGUCACUGACUGUCACAUCUUUGAAGUCAAGCCCCAGUCAUUAAAUUCCACACCACAUUCAACCAUAUGAGCUGAAAAAUAUAGCAAACUAUGCUGCCCUCUAGUGUCAAACCUGCAGCAUGACCUACAGCAUCACCAGCAAGAUGGCCAGUGUUUUUAGUUUUCUGAACUUAUUCAGUAGAAACAGUUUCCCUUGGAGCCCAUAAAGUUGCCAUAAAACAGCAACUUUCAUAGAAUGAAGUGAUUUAUAAUUUGAAUAUACAAUAUAGAAUAUAGAAUAUAUAAUAUAACUGAUUGAAAAACAAAAGUAAAUGUGUUUGUAUGGAGACAAAAAAAGAAACGAGAAGGAAGAAAGAGCGAGAGAGAGACAGAGAGAUUAUUUGGUUUGCUUGUUGUCUGGGUUGGUUUGGCUUGUGUUGGUUUUGUUUAGUUUGGGUUGGUAUAGUUGGCUUGGGUUGGUUCUUUUAAGUUUGUUAGUUUGGAUUGGUUUGCAGGGAUGGUUGAGUUGGAGGGUUUGCUGGGUUGGUUGUUUGGUUUGGGUUAGUUUGGUUGGUUGGUUUGCUUGUUUGAUUUGGUUGGAUUGGGUUUGUUUGAUUGGAUUGGUUGGCUUGGGCUGGUUUAAUUGGGUUGUUUUGGGUGGUUUGCUGUUUAAGUUGGUUAUGUUUGGGUUUGUUCUCUGGUUGUAUUGGUUUGUUUGUAUUCAUUCGGUUAGUUGGGAAUUGAUUUGUUUGGUGGGUUGUUUACACUGUUUAUUGGUCUGUUAUUUUUGUUUGUUUGCUUGGUUGAUGUGUUAGAUUUGCUUGGGUUGGUUGCUUUAUGUUGGUUUGGUUGUUUGGGAUGGUUGAGUUGGUUGGUUGUUGAUUUUUUCCAUUGGUUGAUUUGUUUGUAGUUUCAAUUGUUGGCGAGCUGGUUUGUGAUGUUUGAGAUGGUUCAAGAUUCAAGAACGUAAUAAUGCUGUGAUGCACUUUUUAUUUUUUUUUAAAAGACAGUGCACACAAUGUGUGUAUUUAUAUUACCUGUGCAUAAUUGAAGAGGCCAACAGAGACUACUUUUGUUUGAGAAAACUGAAGAACCUCCCUUGUGCCAAAUUAUCCUCACUAUCUAAAUAUCAAGUGCUUUGCCUUUAUAACCAGCCAUGGCUCUACAGGUCUACCAUUUUGCACAGCUGAUCCAGUAGUUUGAGGUCUUGUACAAAGUAAUGCAAUGCUGGAUGUAGUCAAGUAGAAACAGAUUACAGUUCAAACCAAACUUUGCAGCAAGGUAGAUCUCACAGAGUUAACCAAUCAUUUUACAGCAUCAGUUCUCUUCAAGUACUUUUUGUGAAAACCUGUAAACAAUGAAAUCCUGUUUGGUGCUGGCUGCUGGUUGUGUUCUGAAUGACCGUCCCACCUAGACUGGAUUUCACAGGAGGAGGAAAAAAAGCCUGG